Long non-coding RNA from Athalia rosae (coleseed sawfly), 4006 nucleotides. RefSeq lists it as uncharacterized. NCBI's taxonomy places the organism in Eukaryota, Metazoa, Arthropoda, Insecta, Hymenoptera, Athaliidae. The record is from RefSeq and is a predicted model, not a curated record. The transcript is spliced from 2 exons.
UCGUGUGGUAGAGGAGGCGGGUCGUCGUAUCCGGAAAUUUAUUACGUCAGUUUAAAGUCAGUUUUAUCAAAGUCGUAAGCAAUGCAAACUUAAACCUUUAAAAUUAUCCGUGUAUUACAUAUUUUGUACACGUAUCAAACCGCCUGUAAGUGCAUAGGAUAUAUAACCGAGGGAAUAAUUCAGCUGAAUAAUAAGCGGGGAAUGAAAUUUUUCAAUGAAAUUAUAUAACAGAUAUUACGUUAGGUUGAUGUAUAUAUUUCACUACACAGUACAUAAAUAAAUAGAUACUCGCGCAAUUCCUGAGACCAGAGUAAGCUGUGUAGAUAUAUACAUAUUUGAAUACAUACCUAUAUUUCGUUAGACCGCGCGGAUAUUCGACGAUACGCCGUGAUUUCAGGCGCUUCUCAAUCCCGUAAUGUGCAUUCACGGAAGAGAGGAAUUUAUCUCCGUGUAAUUAACCGAUACGCCCGCGACUCUUUACCUUCGACCGUCAUAUACCUGCACACGCUCGUCGUGUACCUACGCAUCGCGAAGGUACCAUCGGCCCAAUUUUUACAGCAGUCGAGGCCCAAGAUUUUGACACGACGACGACGAACGUAUCGUUACGCCGAUCAGAUAAGCCCGUACGUACCUAAAGUGUCAUCCGGUUACCCGAAAAAUUUUCGUUCACGUCGAUCGUGAUGAUUUUUCUCAUUCGCGAUUGCGCCGGUAUUCGGGAUAUUCCGAUGGCCCUUGAUGCACGGCGGUCGGGAUACUUCCGUUACCGGCGAAUAGAUCAGGUUAGGUGGGGCCGCGGUUAAUCACGGCGGUCGGCUGGUGGUAAAUAUAUUUCCACAGUCCAUCGGGAGGUCGGAAUAGUUCGGUGGCCGAUGUGUCAAUUGCUCGGUAUGGUUUAAUUUUGAUAACCUCGGCGACGUCGUACGUCCGACGACGGGAGGAAGGAGAGCCACGUUUCCUUAAUCACUCGGAAUACCUCGGCUGUUGCGCGGCAAUAGAUUAGUGUAAGGGAUAGAUGAUGCAGCGGUACAAUAAGCACGGGUUAGGCUCGCUCGGUAUUAUGGUAGUCGACGUGAGAGAUCGUUUAUACAUAUGCUAAGAUCAGCGCGCGCGCUUGUUUAGAUCGACGAUGCUAAUGCCCGUUACGAUCCUGGGGAAUGAAUAAUGGGCUGCUAUAGUGAAAUACACCAGGACAUAAAUAUUGUAUCUGGAGCGCUAUAUAUUAAGCUGGUAUCGAAUACAUUAUCCCCUUCUGUUCUGCGUUUGUUCCCGAAGCUGAACUUCUAUCUGAUUGAGAUUGUUGCCAUGGGAAUAUGGCCCGCACUUGCGCUCAUUUGUUCGACUUCCUAGUUAUUUCAGAUCCCCCGCAGUACCCGAUGCAUACUUAUGUAUACCAACCAACGUUUCACGUAUAUGUGUGUGUAUUUCACUUCACCUUACAUUUCCAAAUUAUCAUUUCGUGCCAGCGGAGCGCACCUGGAGACGAGAAGCGACUUGGAACUCUGUAAUCAUCGACCGUCCGGUAACCUCCUUAACGAAUUUCCAUGUCACUCCACGGUUUGAAAAGAAAAGAAACGAAAGAUAGAAAGCGUACGACGUCCGAUCCAUUUCAUAACUACCCUCCAAAUCAGAUUCAAUGGGAUACCGAAGCAAACUAGACUAGCGACGUCUUUACAACGUAAACUUUAUUAAGAAUUUAUUAAACUUCUACCAAGUUGUCGUAAAAAGUUUAACGAGUUACACGAAAGUUGCCGGAUUCAAAGUUUCCAAAAGUUUCUAUGUGUAGUUCUAUAGUAAAACUCGUCACGUAUCUUAAUUAUGUAUAUAAAAGCUAAUAAUUGUAAAAAAUAUAUAUGUUUCUCCGACGAAUUUUAAUUAACGAUACGCUUCAACGAAGACUGACCACGACAUUUUUCCAAAAAUAACGAAAAAAUCCAAUUCCGUUGGUCCGUACGUCGAUUUCAUGUGAAAAUUUCUAAUGGAAUUUCCUCCUCCGUACGCUAAAUUCUCUUCGCAAAAUUCCACCGUAUAUAUACCAAAAUCCUUCGCGUAUAUGUGCGCUCUACUCCGCGCGUCGCAUUCUGCUUUAUAAUUUAAUUGUGCAAUUACUUCGGAACAUGAUAUCCAAUACCCUGUAAAGGGUGCUACUAUUAACAGUAAUUACACGAUAAAUGUAUACAGUUUAGUUUAUCCACUCAACCGACCCGCCGCCGCCUCGCGGGUCGCUCGCCAUCUUUUCAUUUUGUUUGCGAGUAACAAUGUCCACGGAGAAACUGUACACGGUUCGCACGUAACUAAAUAAUUUCCAUCAAGUUGAAACAAAUUAUCCGCACAUCGACUUGCGUUAUUUAUUGUAGUAAGUAUAUCGAACGGCUGAAAUACGCGUGCGAAUAAAUGCAAUUUGCAGUAUACGUAUAACGCGACGUGUAACCAAAGCUUGUUAUAUCAACGUAUAACCCACACCGGCAAUAAUAUGUAAUAUCCUUUAGCCGGGGGGUUACAGGUCUCCCUGUCAGCGAGUACAAAACCCAGCCAACCGGACUUCUACAGCGGUUCAAAACUUAAUGGAAUUUCCAUGUGUACGCAUUGUAGGUACCAAAGGACACGCGUUAUCCAGGUAUUAAAACACGUGUGCGUAGAAGUAAAUCGUUUAUCCUACCGCAACAGAAACGGAAACAACGACCGCGGCGAAGCUUGUACCUUGAAUUAUUCCUAUACCGCCGUCUCGAGGGGAAAAAAAAAAAAAACAAAAAAACACGACGUUUGUCGAGAUGGUAUAAGCGCGAAUUCUGCGCCGCCCUUGAUUUCCCCACUCUCUACGGAACGAUGGCACGUACGUAAAAUAGUUGCACAUUGUCAUCGAAAUAAAUAACGAUAUCUCGACAAACUACUAACAAUCCUAACGGUAUCCCUGCGGAAUGAUUCACGUUUCGUCUGUUCGGCUGCAGUAAAAGUUCCCCCACUCGUAUGUGUAUAUCACAUCCGUAUCUGCCUAUUAGGAUGGUUUUCAUCGCGAGAUUCGAGCAUUUCUUACCAAAAGUUUCAUCCGAUCGAAAGAUCGAAUAGAAUACUGUAAAACACGUUUAUGGCGACGUUUUAAAAUUUUUCGUAGUUCUUCUUUCGCAUCGCCUUCUACUCGAACAAUUAUCUUCAGCACGAUCGAACGAUAUCGGUUUGAAAAAAAUCAUCGCUUCUUUGGCAGAAAAAUUACAGUACGAGAAAACCGGCGGACGAUUCGACUCGUCUUCGCUAAUUUUGUAGAACUGGUCUAUUUUGAGCGUAAGCGUAAACGAAUGGAACGUAAAAUGCGAGUCGAGAUUGCAAAUGAUAAUUUUAGCGAUACGACUGAAAAAGUUUUCCAGCGUAUGACAUGAAAAAGUGAAACAAGCAGUGGCGGAAGAAAUACAAAGCAAAAAUGUGAAAUAACGAGAAAAAGAAGAAGAUCGAGGACGUCUGUGUGCUCUAGAAAUAUACGAGUCGGUGUACCGGUAUGUAGGUUACGAGGCAAGUUUAGAAGUGCUAAGCAGCGAGAAACUUUGUACUUUUCUUCAUCGUACGCGAGCGAUCUCUGAAAGGAACAUGGGUCUGGUGCUUGCAUAGGUAUACUCCGUCCGUACACCGGUCGUCUAUCCGAAGUCUACCACCAGCAGCAGGAGCAGACAGACGGAAGGAACGAAGGGAAGAACGUAGUCGCCGCGCUGCGCCACGUUGAAAACGAAACGGCUGUAGCAGUUGCACGGCGAAGCGAUUCGAACGAAGAAUAAAAAUAAUUAUAAUAGAUAGGUAUAAGAGAGAAAGAAGAAGGAAAAAAGGUACUUUUGACGUUACCUUCGACAUUUGUCGAAAUGUACGACAUAUUCAUAUUUCACGUCAUUUGCACUACGAGAAAGAGGAAAGUAGAAUGGGUGAGUACGACGACGAUGACGUAAAGUUCAGCGGAAGAAUGUAUUGAAGAUAAAUAACUAACCAAACAUGUAGACGAAUAAAAUUUGUGUGAAACAAAAAAAAA